UUUUAUUCUGCUUUUCAUAACACAUUUGACUUUCAUGGUCUUUUUAAAGACUUACACUGAGUAAAAAGGUGCCAACAUGCGGGUAUUAUGUAUUUUAUUCUGUUGUUUAAUGUGUAAAUGAUAUUUGGCCACUAUAUAAUUUUUUUUUUACAACCCUGGUAUCUUGCUUCAAAACAAAACAUGCAGGUGAUGUGUGAAAAAAGAUGAGCUCUGUUUUAUUGUCUUGUUUUCAUUUUUGUGACGACUCACAGAAGUAGCAUAAUGUAGCACAUCAAUGGUUUUAGCCCUGUACCAAGAACACUAUAAUGAUUAUUUUAUUUUUUUGUAAUGAUUAUUUGUUUAUUAUUUCCAAGCCUUACAAGAUAUUGUUGCUGUCCUCUUUGUGUCCUUUCUGUGUCUGGUAUGUGUGUUUGGCGUUGGCUGAUGACUAACUGAAGGGAGGGUAAAUGGUUGUGUGUUUGGUACUGGUUGAUAGUUAACUGAAGGGAUUGUAGAUGGUUGUGUGUUUUGUGUUGGCUGAUAUGUAACUGAAGGGAUUGUAGAUGGUGGUGUGUGUGGUGUUGGCUGAUAGCUAACUGAAGGGAUUGUAGAUGGUUGUGUGUUUGGUGUUGGCUGAUAUCUAACUGAAGGGGUUGUAGAUGGUUGUGUGUUUGGUGUUGGCUGAUAUCUAACUGAAGGAAUUGUAGAUGGUUGUGGGUUUGGUGUUGGCUGAUAUCUAACUGAAGGAAUUGUAGAUGGUUGUGUGUUUGGUGUUGGCAGAUGGGUAACUGAAGGGAUUGUAGAUGGUUGUGGGUUUGGUGUUGGCAGAUAGCUAACUGAAGGGAUUGUAGACGGUUGUGGGUUCGGUGUUGGCUGAUAUCUAACUGAAGGGAUUGUAGAUGGUUGUGGGUUUGGUGUUCGCUGAUAGUUAACUGAAGGGAUUGUAGAUGGUUGUGUGUUUGGUGUUGGCUGAUAUCUAACUGAAGGGGUUGUAGAUGGUUGUGGGUUUGGUGUUUGCUGAUGGCUAACUAAAGGGACUGUAGAUGGUUGUGUGUUUGGUGUUUGCAGAUAGCUAACUGAAGGGAUUGUAGAUGGUUGUGUUUGGUACUGGCUGAUGGCUAACUGAAAGGAUUGUAGGUGGUUGUGUGUUUGGUGUUCGCUGAUCGCUAACUGAAGGGAUUGUAGAUGGUUGUGUGUUUGGUGUUGGCAGAUAUCUAACUGAAGGGAUUGUAGAUGGUUGUUUGUUUGGUGUUGGCUGAUAGUUAACUGUAUGGAUUGUAGAUGGUUGUGUGCUUGGUGUUUGUUGAUAGUUAACUGAAGGGAUUGUAGAUGGUUGUGUGUUUGGUGUUCGCUGAUAUCGAACUGAAGGGAUUGUAGAUGGUUGUGUGUUUGGUGUUUGCAGAUAUCUAACUGAAGGGAUUGUAGAUGGUUGUGGGUUUGGUGUUGGCUGAUAGCUAACUGAAGGGAUUGUAGAUGGUUGUGGGUUUGGUGUUGGCUGAUAGUUAACUGAAGGGAUUGUAGAUGGUUGUGUGUUUGGUACUGGCUGAUAGCUAACUAAAGGGAUUGUAGAUGGUUGUGGGUUUGGUGUUGGUUGAUAUCUAACUGAAGGGAUUGUAGAUGGUUGUGUGUUUGGUGUUGGAUAAUAGUUAACUGUAUGGAUUAUAGAUGGUUGUGUGUUUGGUGUUUGCUGAUAGCUAACUGAAGGGAUUGUAGAUGGUUGUGUGUUUGGUGUUUGCAGAUAUCUAACUGAAGGGAUUGUAGAUGGUUGUGGGUUUGGUGUUGGCUGAUAGCUAACUGAAGGGAUUGUAGAUGGUUGUGUGUUUGGUGUUGGCUGAUAGUUAACUGAAGGGAUUGUAGAUGGUUGUGUGUUUGGUACUGGCUGAUAGCUAACUAAAGGGAUUGUAGAUGGUUGUGGGUUUGGUGUUGGUUGAUAUCUAACUGAAGGGAUUGUAGAUGGUUGUGUGUUUGGUGUUGGAUAAUAGUUAACUGUAUGGAUUAUAGAUGGUUGUGGGUUUGGUGUUUGCUGAUAGCUAACUGAAGGGAUUGUAGAUGGUUGUGUGUUUGGUGUUUGCAGAUAUCUAACUGAAGGGAUUGUAGAUGGUUGUGGGUUUGGUGUUGGCUGAUAGCUAACUGAAGGGAUUGUAGAUGGUUGUGGGUUUGGUGUUGGCUGAUAGCUAACUGAAGGGAUUGUAGAUGUUUGUGUGUUUGGUGUUCGCUGAUAGCUAACUGAAGGGAUUGUAGAUGGUUGUGUGUUUGGUGUUCGCUGAUAGCUAACUGAAGGGAUUGUAGAUGGUUGUGUGUUUGGUGUUCGCUGAUAGCUAACUGAAGGGAUUGUAGAUGGUUGUGGGUUUGGUGUUCGCUGAUAGCUAACUGAAGGGAUUGUAGAUGGUUGUGGGUUUGGUGUUGGCUGAUAGUUAACUGAAGGGAUUGUAGAUGGUUGUGUGUUUGGUGUUCGCUGAUAGCUAACUGAAGGGAUUGUAGAUGGUUGUGGGUUUGGUGUUCGCUGAUAGCUAGCUGAAGGGAUUGUAGAUGGUUGUGGGUUUGGUGUUGGCUGAUAGUUAACUGAAGGGAUUGUAGAUGUUUGUGUGUUUGGUACUGGCUGAUAGCUAACUAAAGGGAUUGUAGAUGGUUGUGGGUUUGGUGUUGGUUGAUAGUUAACUGAAGGGAUUGUAGAUGGCUGUGUGUUUGGUGUUUGCUGAUAUCGAACUGAAGGGAUUGUAGAUGGUUGUGUGUUUGGUGUUCGCUGAUAUCGAACUGAAGGGAUUGUAGAUGGUUGUGUGUUUGGUGUUUGCAGAUAUCUAACUGAAGGGAUUGUAGAUGGUUGUGUGUUUGGUGUUCGCUGAUAGCUAACUGAAGGGAUUGCAGAUGGUUGUGUGUUUGGUGUUGGCUGAUAUCUAAAUGAAGGGAUUGUAGAUGGUUGUGUGUUUGGUGUUUGCAGAUAUCUAACUGAAGGGAUUGUAGAUGGUUGUGUGUUUGGUGUUCGCUGAUAGCUAACUGAAGGGAUUGCAGAUGGUUGUGUGUUUGGUGUUGGCUGAUAUCUAAAUGAAGGGAUUGUAGAUGGUUGUGGGUUUGGUGUUCGCUGAUAGCUAACUGAAGGGAUUGUAGAUGGUUGUGGGUUUGGUGUUGGCUGAUAGUUAACUGAAGGGAUUGUAGAUGGUUGUGUGUUUGGUGUUGGAUAAUAGUUAACUGUAUGGAUUAUAGAUGGUUGUGUGUUUGGUGUUUGCUGAUAGCUAACUGAAGGGAUUGUAGAUGAUUGUGUGUUUGGUGUUUGCAGAUAUCUAACUCAAGGGAUUGUAGAUGGUUGUGGGUUUGGUGUUGGCUGAUAGCUAACUGAAGGGAUUGUAGAUGGUUGUGUGUUUGGUGUUUGCAGAUAUCUAACUGAAGGGAUUGUAGAUGGUUGUGUGUUUGGUGUUGGCUGAUAGCUAACUGAAGGGAUUGUAGAUGGUUGUGUGUUUGGUGUUGGCUGAUAGUUAACUGAAGGGAUUGUAGAUGGUUGUGUGUUUGGUACUGGCUGAUAGCUAACUAAAGGGAUUGUAGAUGGUUGUGGGUUUGGUGUUGGUUGAUAUCUAACUGAAGGGAUUGUAGAUGGUUGUGUGUUUGGUGUUGGAUAAUAGUUAACUGUAUGGAUUAUAGAUGGUUGUGGGUUUGGUGUUUGCUGAUAGCUAACUGAAGGGAUUGUAGAUGGUUGUGUGUUUGGUGUUUGCAGAUAUCUAACUGAAGGGAUUGUAGAUGGUUGUGGGUUUGGUGUUGGCUGAUAGCUAACUGAAGGGAUUGUAGAUGGUUGUGGGUUUGGUGUUGGCUGAUAGCUAACUGAAGGGAUUGUAGAUGUUUGUGAGUUUGGUGUUUGCUGAUAGCUAACUGAAGGGAUUGUAGAUGGUUGUGGGUUUGGUGUUUGCUGAUAUCUAACUGAAGGGAUUGUUGAUGGUUGUGGGUUUGGUGUUUGCUGAUAUCUAACUGAAGGGAUUGUAGGUGGUUGGCAGCACGUUUGGUCUUCAACCAACCAAAACGGGCACAUGUCACUCCGCUGCUCAUUGAGCUCCACUGGCUACCGGUUGCUGCUCGCAUCAAAUUCAAAGUGCUUACAAUCGCCUACAAGGUGAUGAC
Astyanax mexicanus (Mexican tetra) is the source of this 4083-nucleotide long non-coding RNA. RefSeq lists it as uncharacterized. NCBI's taxonomy places the organism in Eukaryota, Metazoa, Chordata, Actinopteri, Characiformes, Acestrorhamphidae. The record is from RefSeq and is a predicted model, not a curated record. The transcript has 3 exons.